UACGGAGGAUGCGAGCGUUAUCCGGAUUUAUUGGGUUUAAAGGGUGCGUAGGCGGGUUAUCAAGUCAGCGAUAAAAUCGUGGAGCUCAACUCCAUCCAGCCGUUGAAACUGAUGAUCUUGAGUGGGCGAGAAGUAUGCGGAAUGCGUGGUGUAGCGGUGAAAUGCAUAGAUAUCACGCAGAACUCCGAUUGCGAAGGCAGCAUACCGGCGCCCGACUGACGCUGAAGCACGAAAGCGUGGGUAUCGAACAGG
This 252-nucleotide ribosomal RNA is filed under the name uncultured bacterium. Its description in RNAcentral is "partial 16S ribosomal RNA". It matches the Rfam family "Bacterial small subunit ribosomal RNA", at positions 524 to 776 of the family's 1533-position model. The record is from RNAcentral.